Molecule: ribosomal RNA, 436 nt
Filed under: uncultured bacterium
Lineage: Bacteria
Description: bacterial SSU rRNA
Rfam family: Bacterial small subunit ribosomal RNA
Source: RNAcentral
CGAAAGGGUGACUAUGCGACGCCGCGUGUGCGAUGAAGGUCUUCGGAUCGUAAAGCACUGUCAGCCGGAAGGAAUCUCUGGAGGCCUAAUAAGCUUGCAGGGUGACAGUACCGGCAGAGGAAGCCACGGCUAACUCCGUGCCAGCAGCCGCGGUAAUACGGAGGUGGCAGGCGUUACUCGGAUUGAUUGGGUGUAAAGGGUGUGUAGGUGGCGAGUUAAGUCGAAUGUGAAAGCCCGCGGCUCAACCACGGAAUUGCAUUCGAAACUGGCUUGCUUGAGCGACUGAGAGGUAAAUGGAAUUCCCGGUGUAACAGUGAAAUGUGUAGAUAUCGGGAGGAACACCAGUGGCGAAGGCAGGCCUCUGGGCCACUACUGACACUGAGGAGCGAAAGCGUGGGGAGCAAACAGGAUUAGAUACCCUGGUAGUCUACGCUGU